Molecule: ribosomal RNA, 329 nt
Filed under: uncultured eukaryote
Lineage: Eukaryota
Description: partial 18S ribosomal RNA
Rfam family: Eukaryotic small subunit ribosomal RNA
Source: RNAcentral
CCCUUAGAUGUCCUGGGCCGCACGCGCGCUACACUGAGUGUCUGAGAUACGAGUCUGCCUGGUCCGGCAAGGUCUAGGUAAUCGCUAAAAGACACAUCAUGCUUGGGAUAGAUUAUUGCAAAUAUUAAUCUUGAACGAGGAAUUCCUAGUAAGCGCAAGUCAACAGCUUGCGUUGAUUACGUCCCUGCCCUUUGUACACACCGCCCGUCGCUACUACUGAUUGGGUGUUUAAGCGAGGUUCUCGAACUGCUAGCGACUUAGCUUCGGUGAGGUCGCAGUGUGGGAAGUGAACCGAGCUUUGGUGUCUAGAGGAAGUAAAAGUCGUAACA